UACUUGUCAUUCUUCUUUUUUAGGCUACACUACACAUGAUCGCAUAAUUCUCCCAUAUGAAUAGGAAACCCAGUAAUUAUGGGACUGAUAUGCGAUCAUAGGCAGAGCAUGUCUUAUAAACUUUCUUGAGCACCGUAAUCUGGGGAGUGGGGGUACCGUGGAGGGCCCAUAUUCUGCGCACUUAAUACUUUUUCUAUUACAAUCUGCAGUAAUAAAUUCCAAAUCGAACCGAUUUGGCUGAAUUUUUGAUCGCACAUAGUUAUCAGCUUUGCAAAUAAGGGAAAACUAAAGUUCUUAUACAAAACACUUAAUUUAUAUGUAAAAUCAUGAAAACUCUAAAGUGUGUCUUUGUUCUUAAUUCUGCGUACUAUUUUUUGGAAUGUUCCUUAUUCUGCGCACUAAUGUUCUUAAUUCUGCGCACAUGGGAAAAAUUCUAAAAAGAUAACAUAUUGUAAUGAGAACAUAAUUCAUAGAUAAAAUUCAAUUGAAUUCUUCAUUUUCAACUUUUAUACGACAUUACGACCAUAUUGGAAAAUUGAAUGUCCCCAACAUUGAUACUACCGUGGGGUGCCCUAAUUUCGCGCGCGUCCAAAUUUCGCUCACUGAUAAUAUUUAGAGAUCAUAAUCAAAAAACUAGCUGUGUAAUUGUCCAAAUUACACUUUUGCUAUGCUGUCUAAAGUGAAAUUAGGACAAUUCAACAAUUACUUCUAUGAUGAUGAUCUCUAAAAUUUACCAGUGAGCGAAAUUUGGACCCGCGCGAAAUUAGGGCACCCUACGGUACCUACUUUGAUUACUAAGCUAAAGGAAUUGCAACCAUGAUACACAAAAGGAUUUUGUAGAAUUCUCGAAUACUACUAUGUAACGGGUGGUCACUAAAUAACGGGAAUGCUUUGAAUGUGCUCUUAAAAAUAUAUGAUCUUUAAAAAUGGCAAUCUGAAUUUAACUAUCAUAAAGGUUUAACAAUGUACGUCCAUGGAAAAUAUAAAAUUUAAGAAAGUUGAACGUAGUAAUUUGUACAGUAUUUUUUUGCAGUGAUGUUGGAGCAACUGCUUUGUACGACUUUUCAGAGUUUACUUUCACGCAUUUUCUGCGUCUGUGAAAUCGUUGGUUAAAAUAAAUGGUUUCUCAGCUACCUUUAGCAUCUACACACUCAAACAGUAAUAAGAAAAAAUGGGGAUACUGACUUGUUUUUUUUUUGCUUUGGCUGUAGCCUUUUCCCGUAAAUGACAUUUAUAGAAAUUUCCAAAAAAUGUUAUUUUUCUGUAUCACCAAAACGUGUCGAUGUAAUUUGUACACUGCGGUUCAUUGUUGAACUUUUUUUGUGCUAUUUUUUUUUAUAACGAACCAUUUACAUGUUGUUCAAUGUGUAAAUGUGAUUUGAUGUAAAUAUUUGUUAUUUAACAAGGCAUUCUAUUGAUUUAUCCAGCCCAUGUCACAAAAGAAGAUUUUAUUAUGUGAAAUGAUAUCACGCUUAUUGGUUUUGCUAGUUUUCCUCUAUUUCCUUCAGGAUCUGUUUCUUGGGAUGCCGAAAUGUGGAAUUCAUUCAAAACCGGGCGGGUUCUAGUUUUAUAAUGGUUUACUAUUAACUUUUUUUAAGGUUGUUUUGAGCAAUCAGUAGAGCCGUCCAAGGCGUUUUGGUAGUGCUUCCUGUUUCAAUGUCGUUUUCUGCAGAACAGAAUAAGUUGACACAAAAUAAAAAAUACGCUGACUUUGUGGAUAGAUAGACGAUGGUUUUGUCUAAAAAAUGUUUACUCUAUGGACGCUUCUAUUGUUUUUAAUCAGCUGCUAAAAGCAUUCCCGUUAUUUAGUGGCCACCCGUUAAAGCUUUUUAGUUAUCCGCAUAUGUACAUACAUAUUAGUAAAAAUUACUUUCAUUUCUAAAGGCAAUAUAAACUUUUUCGCCAUGACAAGGUGGCACAACCUGUUUUUGCAAACUGAGACUUCUUUCUUGUCCAACUCCAGGGUUUCCCCUGUUUAAGAAAAUUUCAUGUAAACUCACAUCACAUGUCGCAUUUGACGAAUGCUUGCAUGAAUACAUAAAAUUUCUCCCGAGGCUGAUAGCAAAUGUUUAAAACAAGUGGUUAGCCCAGUCAAACUAUCAGAUCAAAAAUGCAAGAAUCGUAAAUUAGCCUUUUAAGUUUAUAAACUAACUAGUUGAAACGUUAUUAUACAUUCACCGGAUUGCUAGAAACAUAUAAUAUCCUAGUUAUAACUAUGGUGGCAUUUAUAUGAUGUUUGAUUAUAAAUUUUAUGUUCAAAACUUAGUGUUGAAAUGUCUGCUCAGAAUUAAGACCACCAUUUAAUACCGGUUCCUUUAUCUGCGCCCCUAAGAAGAACAAGAAGAUUAAGAAAAGAAGAAGAAAACUCAAUUGUUGUUUGUCGAUUCUGAUUCCUCGAAGACAGCAGUACAGGAUGCGCAUGGAAAAGCAGACAUUCUCUUCAUUUUUUAUGUCGCAAAAUGCUUGAGCUCAUGAUACAAUUUUUAGCAACUUCGCAAACGGACACAGAUUUCAGGCAAUUUCCAGCAUUUGCAUCACCAUUUUAUUUUUUUACAAAAUAAUGGUCGUUAGCCUGAUUUUUUUUCACAAACUUUCUUUUACUGUUGCAACAAUAUUCAAAAAAAUAUUUGAAGCUAAUAUUGAACGAGCGUCUAUGAUUUUGUGGUGUAUUCGAGUAAGUGCUCCGAAUUAGGGACUGCGCAGAAUUAGGGCCAGUCACGGUAGAUGAUUAUGAAAAUCGAACAAUAUUUCGAAAAGUUGGUUUUUGACCAAAAAAUUGUAAUAUGCGAUGGUCCUUCCAACGCAUGGAAUGUAAUUUUGGGGGGUAACUAGGUAUAUUUUGAAGAUGCUUUAGCAUGUAUAACUUUUUGCAAAAAAGAUUUGGAAAUCAUAUUUUACACAUACAUAGUGGAGCAAAAGUUCGAAUUGUGGGGCAAGAGUUCCAGUCAUGUGGCAGCUUUAGGUAAAACCUAAAAUUCUGCAAAAUACACAUAUUAUAUCUAAAAGUGAUGGAAUUAGUGAGGAAAUUCGAUCUAAGUUGAAAAAAAUGUUGCUUUAUCUGAAUUUGGCGGAAAACUACUAAUUUUAGGUGUAGCCGGGGUGGCCAAUGAAUAACAGAUUUUGAUUUUCCGGUUUUCUUCCAUUUUUCCCCCCGGUUUUAAUAUUUUUGCUUGUAUUGUAUUCCCUAUCAGUUUAGGAGCUGUUCGUGAUGGAAACUUUAAUGACUUUGAAUAUCUAUACUCUUCUCACACGAAGAAUGGUCAAUGGCAAAGAAACCAAAUUAAAAUUGUGGAAGUGUUUUUACAGUUACACAAAUUUACAGUGUUUACAGAACCUAUUUUUUAGAAAUACUAAAAAUACCAAUACUUGGGAACGAUGUUACGAUUUGACAUCGUUUGAAUUUCUAGAGGAUUUCCUAAAUGAAUUACUGAAGAACCCCUAAAAGGAACUUUUGAACAAACAGCAGUAAGAAAUCCUGAAGAAAUUUUUGUUCUGAAGGGAAUCCAGUAGAAGCUCUAGGAGGAAUCCAAGAACAAAAGCAGCAAAUACUCCUGCAGAAGAUAAAAAAAACUUUUUUACCCUUUCCUUCCCAUGGCACAGGUGAUCCACUGCUUGGCACUGAUCAUACAAAAUCUACAUAAGUUAGAUCGUUUCCGCUUUUUCUUCACAUACAUUAAUAUGUUUCAUUAAUAGCUCAUGAAGAAAAAUACUUUGGCAUAAUUGCCAAGUUUGGUCAAAGUUCGUUUGCUAGUUUUUGUUCUAGAGCCAAAAAAUCUAACGAAAGUCGGUAUUUUUUUCCAUUUUAAUUCAAACUAUUUUUGAAUAUAGGUAAUUCUCGCUGAGACCGGCCCACUAUUUACACCUUGUCUUCAAAAAUGUUCAAGGUGGCGAUUUUCUGAAAAUUCUCGCUAAAAAAGUAAGGAAAAUGCAUUUGGUGACUCAAUUUGGGCCCAUAUAGCCGAGGCGGUAAACGCACGGGUAUUCAGCAUGACCAUGCUGAGGGUGACGGGUUCGAUUCCCGGUCGGUCCAGGAUCUUUUCGUAAAGGAAAUUUCCUUGACUUCCUUGGGCAUAGAGUAUCUUCGUGCCUGCCACACGAUAUACACAUGCAAAAUGGUCAUUGGCAGAGGAAGCUCUCAGUUAAUAACUGUGGAAGUGCUCAUAGAACACUAAGCUGAGAAGCAGGCUUUGUCCCAUUGAGGACGUUACGCCAAGAAGAGGAGGAGAGGACUCAAUUUGAUGGACCCCCGUUAGUUGGAGCUACAACAAUUUUUAAAGACCCCUCGAUUUUGAUCUAAACAGCAAAACGAAUUGUUGUUGAAAAGAGGAAAGAUAGAACUACUAUUUACAAUUAUAAAAAGUUGGGUCGGCCAUAUUGAUUUUGGCCGCCAUCUUGGAUUUUUAUACCAAAAUAUUUUUUUCAACAUGAUGGCAACCACCGAUUUUUGCAAUUUUUGCAUCAAUUGAAAACUGAGACAUUUAUACAUAACAUCAAAAAAUUAGAGAUGACUUUUUCUUCUUUUAAAAGUUAUCUGCAGUUUUAUAAACCAUGCCACUUUUGCGCACUGGGCCAGGUGCCGGCCGUUUACAUAAAUGCAGCGUUAUUUCGCAGUGUUUACGAACACGAAUUUAAAAUCUGAACCUACUAAUGGAAAGCUGAAGGUUUAAGCUUUUUAAAACACUAAAAAAGUUAUAAAAGCAAUGCCCGCAACAUUGAGAAACAGUCAAAAACGGGAACGAACCUCCGAUUUACCCAAAUUUGGAGCAGGUGUCUUUGUGUAUACAUGCAGUCACAGCUUUCAAUUCAUGCAAAAAAUUUGAAAAUGUGUUGGUGGUUGCCAUCAUGCAGAAAAACAUGUUUUGGUAUAAAAAUCCAAGAUGGCGGCCAAAAUCAAUAUGGCCGACACAACUUUUUAUAAUUGUAAAUAGUAGCUCACUCUAUCUUUCCUCUUUUCAACAACAAUUCGUUUUGAUGUGGUUUUUUCGAGCCACCAUUUGACCAAAAUCGAGGGGUCUUCAAAAAUUGUUGUAGCUCUCCCGUUCCAAACGAGCAGGCAGUGAUAGGGUGCGACUCAAAACUCUUUGCGUGCCGCACACGCUGCUACGAGACAGCACAACAAACCAGAAGGAGACGAGUACGUGCAGUGCAAUCGGUUGUGUGUUGCUCGCUUACUUUGCCGCGCGCUGGAGAUCUCCUGUCGCUUUGUCGUAUGCACUCUCUCGGUGCUUGUCUUCGUGCUUUGGAAUUUGCUUGAUACUACGCAUGAUUGGUAAAAUUUCGAAUCAAACGAUCCAUCACUUAUCAACCCUUGGCAAGCUCAACAAUUUUGCCGAAAACACAAACUCUUUAAUUAAUUUAUUAGGUGAUUUUUUUCUGUUUGGUGAUAAGCACAGUCCCAAGCACCGUGCAUUACUCCCUGCGCCGUAGAGCUAGUGCUACGGGUUGUCUCUCGUACAAUUACAAAAGCUCUCACUCAUACGUCUCUUGUCUCUCGGCAAAACGGGAGACAAGCACUUGAGAUUGUGUGAAGCACACGCUUUUUUCGCACCGCACGGUGCAUGCCGUCAAUCCCUGCGAGCAGGGGACCUGUCAAAAUUGGAACAUGACGCCACUCUCCCUUCCAGUCACUCUACCUAUUAUAUGUAUAUUAUUCCCCAUCAUAAUCAUGUUAGAGGAAGACUUAUGGACGCCGCGUAAAUGCUGAUAAAUUUCAUUAAGUGUAACAGUAGGGCGCUCCCGACAUAGUUUAAACGUGUAAUGAAAGCUUUGUAAAAACAAAAAAGAAAUUAAAGACGAAAAAGGUAAAUUUAGAUGUAUGCCUCUUCAAUGUAGCCAUCUUUCCAAUGGAUCACUGGUGAUCCACCCCAGAAUUAUUUUUUAUCAGUUCCAUCGAUAUAUUGAAGCGAAAUUAUGCAUCUUUUGUUCUAAUGAUCUGUUUGGAAAUCCUUUUUUCUAUUUUUAAAUCUCAAAAAACAUUGCGGGAAAAAAUGGGUUAAGUAGCAUUUUUGAUCAAUAACGGCGCCGGCCAGGUCCUUACAAUCAGUUGAGAAGGACAAGAGAAGCGGCACAGUUCGCUUGGUUGCAUAACUUGUAGGCGUUGGACGAUAGAUUGACACUGUGCUGUUGAAGCUGGAAGGAAUGGGAACGCUUUUCAAUCAAUUUAUGGUUCUAGCAAUUGCUAUGAACAUAUGAAUAUACAUGAGUUUUUUUUA
Molecule: long non-coding RNA, 6212 nt
Organism: Aedes albopictus (Asian tiger mosquito)
Lineage: Eukaryota; Metazoa; Arthropoda; Insecta; Diptera; Culicidae
Exons: 2
Source: RefSeq, a predicted model, not a curated record